RNAcentral lists this long non-coding RNA (223 nucleotides) under Aquilegia coerulea. RNAcentral describes it as "long non-coding RNA (ACOE_LNC001017)". The record is from RNAcentral. Lineage: Eukaryota; Viridiplantae; Streptophyta; Magnoliopsida; Ranunculales; Ranunculaceae.
UCUCAAACACUCCCACGAGUGAGAGGUUGUGAGUUCAAUUCCCAUCAAUAGUGUUUGGAGAAAUUUCUCCCGUGAUUAUGAUGUGGCUAGGUGUUCUUCAGCGAAAGUCCCUGAGUAGCAGAAUUGCUCGAGUUGCAAGGUGGCGGUGUGAACGCUUAGGUAGUAGCAUCAGUAGCCUUCGGGCCUUGUCUUUGUAAGCCUUCGGGCCAUGAUUAAUAUACCA